RNAcentral lists this ribosomal RNA (235 nucleotides) under uncultured bacterium. RNAcentral describes it as "partial 16S ribosomal RNA". It matches the Rfam family "Bacterial small subunit ribosomal RNA", at positions 99 to 334 of the family's 1533-position model. The record is from RNAcentral.
CGGACGGGUGAGUAACACGUAUGUGACCUGACGCCUGGUGGGGGAUACCCGUCCGAAAGGGCGGCUAAUACCGCAUGUGGUCCCGGGGGGUGCCCGGGGACGAAAGCGUGCAAGCGUGCCAGGUGAGGGGCGUGCGGCCGAUUAGCUAGCUGGUGGGGUAACGGCCUACCAGGGCGACGAUCGGUAGCUGGGCUGAGAGGCCGAGCAGCCACACUGGGACUGAGACACGGCCCAG